Molecule: non-coding RNA, 1842 nt
Organism: Camelina sativa (false flax)
Lineage: Eukaryota; Viridiplantae; Streptophyta; Magnoliopsida; Brassicales; Brassicaceae
Source: RefSeq, a predicted model, not a curated record
GUUAUAGAGUAUACAAUGUAACAAACAAACUGGUUAACAUGAAGUGAAUAAAAAUACAAACUUCAAAAUCAUCAGUGUGAAUCUUUUUUUCUCUCUCUCGAAAAGAAGUUCGCCCUAGCCGCCGUCGUCAAGUCUUUACUUCGAUCUGAUCUUUCCGGUCACCGACGCUCCUCGCCGGAGUUGUGAGAGGGUCGUCCUUUGUCUGUCUCUUUCAUGUCUAGUUAAUCAUGAGCCUUCCCCAGCCCUUCUCCGACGAAUAGCUUCAAAGGUUUCGGAAUAGCAUCAAAGUUUGUAUCUUCUCCGUGUGCGGCGAGAUCCUCCUUGCGCGUCGCCUCCUUUUGGUUCGCGAUGGUGAACCGCGACUUGCUCUGUCUAAUCGAUGGCUGUUCUUGAGCGUAAUUUCAGAUAUGGUGUUUGUUGGCCUUAGUUGUUUGAUGGUAAUAGACGGGUCGUUGGUCUCUACUGCGGCUGAGAUGCUUUUGCCUCCUCUACGUUUGCUUGGUGGUGGUGAGAUCCUCCUUGCGCGUCGCCUCCUUUUGGUUCGCGAUGGUGAACCGCGACUUGUUCUGUCUAAUCGAUGACUGUUCUUGAGCGUAAUUUCAGAUAUGGUGUUCGUUGGCCUUAGUUGUUUGAUGGUAAUAGACGGGUCGUUGGUCUCUACUGCGGCUGAGAUGCUUUUGCCUCCUCUACGUUUGCUUGGUGGUGGUGAGAUCCUCCUUGCGCGUCGCCUCCUUUUGGUUCGCGAUGGUGAACCGCGACUUGUUCUGUCUAAUCGAUGACUGUUCUUGAGCGUAAUUUCAGAUAUGGUGUUCGUUGGCCUUAGUUGUUUGAUGGUAAUAGACGGGUCGUUGGUCUCUACUGCGGCUGAGAUGCUUUUGCCUCCUCUACGGUAACAUCUGGCCUUUGUAUUCUUCUGUCCUGUUAGUGCUGCCUUAGGUCUCUUUGUUUAGAAAGUGGUUAGGUUACCUUUGGCUACAUUCUCAUCAAGUCAAACUCGUUUGGUAUAUCCCCAGUUUGCUUGGUGGUGGCUUUAGUGUUAUCUUUGUUGAGUCAGUUCUUGGUUUUUCUUCGGUAGUUGAUAUGUUGGGGGUUAGAAUCUGGAAAUUGCUCUUCCUUUUCUUAGAGCCCUCUUGCUGGUUUGAGAUUAGUUUUAUGCUCUAGGUUCGUUCUUGGUGUUAGCCAUUUGGAUGGUAUUUUGUUGCUGAGUCACCUACUAGCCUUUCUUCGAGUUUCCUGUUGGAAGCUUUAGAGUUAGGUUUUAGUCAAAGCAGUGGAAUGGUUCUCUACUUCUUAUUUUGCGAAGACGUUGUCAGUUUUAAGUCUGUAGGUGGCUGAAGCUGGUUCGACGAGUGUCCGUGUGUAAGAAUAGCUGAUCUUGCGUGGCUUGUCUCCAGUCGUUUUAAAGGUUUCUGCCUUUUCCCUAAAGUUUUUAGUUCUCUCUAAUCGACUGGUGAGGUGUGAUGGAAGUUGUAUUUGUGUCUCUGGUCGUGUUGGGCUCCUUCUUUCUUCUCUGUCGAUUUGCUUUCUGGUUGUCUUUGGUGUGAGGUUUCCGGUCUUCUAGUGCUUUCGUCAUUUACAGGAUUUAUAGGGAAGUUUGAUGGGAAUCUUUUAUGCUUUUGUUCAAUUUUAGAGUUUAGUUCUUUUGUCUUCCCCUUGUAUUAUCUUUUGUUUGCAAUCUGUUUCCCUUUAUUUUGGGACUUUGUUUCUCUCUUGUAGGCUAAUGUUUCUGGGGAUAUUCUUGUAGUUUGCCGGCAUAUGUUUCCCUUGUUUGGGUAUUGUAUUCUAAACUGUUGUAAUCUACUUUGUUGUGAAACCAAAUUUAUCAAUAAAAUUUUAGAUGUU